GCGACCCCAGGUCAGGYGGGACUACCCGCUGAAU
This 34-nucleotide ribosomal RNA is filed under the name Poa bulbosa. Its description in RNAcentral is "partial 26S ribosomal RNA". Lineage: Eukaryota; Viridiplantae; Streptophyta; Magnoliopsida; Poales; Poaceae. The record is from RNAcentral.